GAAUAGACAAAACAAAACUAGAAAACCAAAGAAAAUAGCCCCAUAAACUGGAACAACGGCAUAUUUCCACUUGCAACUGCCUGGCCUGCUAUAAUAAUAUGUGGGGCAGACGUCAGUAUUUUUUAAGAUUCUAAACACAGCUGUGCACAAACCAUGCCUGCAUUAUCACUGUGAUGCUGAGAGGCAGGCAUAUGCCUUACAUUACACUAGCUAGAGCUGAGAGGAGGGAAUCAUUACCGUAUCAAUGAAAGGUACUUGCCUAACUAUUUUCCAUUAUUAAUUUUGUUUAUCAGGAUGACUCCUUGAAAUGUGAUGCAGGAUCCAUUUCUAGUACAGCUCCUGAUAUUUGUAUAGCAUACAAGCUUCAUUUGGAGUGUGGCAGGUUGAUUAACCUGGUUGACUGGUUGGAGGCUUUUUCAACAGUUGUAACUGCAGCUGGAAAUACAGAUUCCACAGUCAAAAACCAGACAGAUGAUAUUAUCCAUGCUCGUUUCAUUAGAGCAGUAUCAGAAUUGGAAUUUUUGGGAUUCAUAAAACCAACAAAACAGAAAACGGAUCACGUGGCAAGGCUGACAUGGGGUAGUUGCUAAUAUGUUCUUGUGAGAAUGAAAGCUCAUCCGUGAAACAAGAUUUUCUAUGGCAUUAAUACCAAUGGCAUCAUUACAAGAGAAAUCAUAUUUUCUACUGUGAUACCAGCCAUAAUAAAGGACACAAAAUGAC
Non-coding RNA from Python bivittatus (Burmese python), 720 nucleotides. NCBI's taxonomy places the organism in Eukaryota, Metazoa, Chordata, Lepidosauria, Squamata, Pythonidae. The record is from RefSeq and is a predicted model, not a curated record.